Molecule: long non-coding RNA, 728 nt
Organism: Schistocerca piceifrons (Central American locust)
Lineage: Eukaryota; Metazoa; Arthropoda; Insecta; Orthoptera; Acrididae
Exons: 3
Source: RefSeq, a predicted model, not a curated record
UUUGUUUAUGGCGUCAAGGAUGAGAACUAAUUUCUUGUGUUGAAAACAUCGAACUCGAUUACUGUGCAGCACCGAAUUAUAGGAGAAUGAAACAAAUAUAUGAGGCCAUUCUGCAGAAAAAAAAUCGUAGAGCAAAACGCCACUGAAAUGAUUAGGCCUACUGAUGAAACAUUUGAACAGCAAAGGAUGCCAUGCAGCAGAAGUGAAGAUUGGAUUGUAAAUCUGCUGUUGCAAAACAAGACUAGAAACAGAGGCAUUGCUUCGUCAAGUGGACAUGACCAUAUUUAUUGUGUGCCCAGUUGUUGAGAAACUGGGUUCUCUGCAAAAGAUGAGGAAAGCCCUCACACUGUAGUGGAGUCACACCAUCAAGUACAUGUUGCUGUGAAUAUUUGGGUUUGCAUAGUAGGCAACAACUUCAUUGGCCCAUAUCUUCCACCUGGCCAUGUGAAUGGCCACCUGUACUUGAGGUUUAUGCAAAGAGCUCUACCUGAGUUAUUGGAGAACAUAUUCUUGGCCGUUCAUGAGAGCACUUCAGUAUGGAUGUCUGCAGCCAUCUCUCAGUGCUGUAUUUCCUGGGUACUAGAUUGGAAGGGGUGGUCCUACUCCAUGGCCUGCAAGAUCACCUGACCUGUAUCCCCUUUAUUACACUCCUGGAAAUUGAAAAAAGAACACAUUGACACCGGUGUGUCAGACCCACCAUACUUGAUCCAACCGCGGUGUUGGCCGUC